This 41-nucleotide non-coding RNA is filed under the name Alexandrium minutum. The record is from RNAcentral. Lineage: Eukaryota; Dinophyceae; Gonyaulacales; Pyrocystaceae.
UUUUUUUUUUUUUUUUUUUUUUUUUUUUUUUUUUUUUUCAU